This 489-nucleotide ribosomal RNA is filed under the name uncultured bacterium. Its description in RNAcentral is "partial 16S ribosomal RNA". It matches the Rfam family "Bacterial small subunit ribosomal RNA", at positions 31 to 507 of the family's 1533-position model. The record is from RNAcentral.
GAACGCUGGCGGUAGGCCUAACACAUGCCAGUCGCACGGCAGCACAGUAAGAGCUUGCUCUUACGGGUGGCGAGUGGCGGACGGGUGAGGAAUACAUCGGAAUCUACUUUUUCGUGGGGGAUAACGUAGGGAAACUUACGCUAAUACCGCAUACGACCUACGGGUGAAAGCAGGGGAUCUUCGGACCUUUCGCGAUUGAAUGAGCCGAUGUCGGAUUAGCUAGUUGGCGGGGUAAAGGCCCACCAAGGCGACGAUCCGUAGCUGGUCUGAGAGGAUGAUCAGCCACACUGGAACUGAGACACGGUCCAGACUCCUACGGGAGGCAGCAGUGGGGAAUAUUGGACAAUGGGCGCAAGCCUGAUCCAGCCAUACCGCGUGGGUGAAGAAGGCCUUCGGGUUGUAAAGCCCUUUUGUUGGGAAAGAAAAGCAGCAGGUUAAUACCCCGCUGUUCUGACGGUACCCAAAGAAUAAGCACCGGCUAACUUCGUG